UACGAAGGGGGCUAGCGUUGUCCGGAAUCACUGGGCGUAAAGGGCGCGUAGGUGGUGGCUUAAGCGUGCGGUGAAAGCUCGGGGCUCAACUCCGAGUCGGCCGUGCGAACUGGGCUCACUGGAGCAUAGUAGAGGCAGGUGGAAUUCCGGGUGUAGCGGUGGAAUGCGUAGAGAUCCGGAAGAACACCGGUGGCGAAGGCGGCCUGCUGGGCUAUGGCUGACACUGAGGCGCGAAAGCGUGGGGAGCGAACAGG
Molecule: ribosomal RNA, 254 nt
Filed under: uncultured bacterium
Lineage: Bacteria
Description: partial 16S ribosomal RNA
Rfam family: Bacterial small subunit ribosomal RNA
Source: RNAcentral